This 2008-nucleotide long non-coding RNA is filed under the name Diabrotica virgifera virgifera (western corn rootworm). RNAcentral's name for it is "uncharacterized LOC126884949". The record is from RNAcentral. Lineage: Eukaryota; Metazoa; Arthropoda; Insecta; Coleoptera; Chrysomelidae.
AUUAUGUUGCAGUCUUUUCCAGUUGAUAAAAUUGCAAUGCAAAAACUUUUAGGUAGAUUUGUACUGUAUGGAUGGCACAGGAAGAGAACAAGAACAUGAAACAUCUUAUUAUGAAUGUAUAUGUAUGUGAUCCUCAAAAAAUGAUUUUACAAAACAAGAUAGAGAAAGAGCUUUAAAAUCCCAAGGAUCCUGCAAAAUGUUUAUUUGGUGUACUAGUCGAAUAAUAGUAUCUAAAAAUAUUGAAACUAUUUUAAAACACAUUACGGGCAUGAGGAUGAUAUAGAGCACUUACAUAAAUACCAAAAUCAGAUAAAUACCUCUUCAAAGUUUAUUUUGAGACUUUCUUCAAAAAUUAAACUUCAGACUGUUCAGGAUAGCAUAAUAGCAUAGGAGGCGAAUUAAAAAGAAUUAAUUUACUUACAAGAAAAGAUAUCACAAACAUUAAACUUUCUUAUGGCAUUGAUUUGAAAGAUGGGUAUAUGUACAAUGACGAUGCAACCAGUGUUUAUUUUUGGGUUGAAUGCUUACAGACUCAUGUCCAAUAUUAUUUUACAAACAACAGGGCAUACUAAUGGAUAUUCAUUCUGAAUUUCACAUUUAUGAUUUUUGUCUUAUUUUCCUUAAUACUGUGCCAAAAGGAAAUGUUAAUUAAGUUUGGUAAAUCCUUUAUUGCAAUCGAUGGAACUCAUGUGCUCAAUUCCUAUGACUUUGAACUUAUGACAGUAUUAGUAAAAGAUGAAUUUGGGAAUGGAUUUUGUACUGCUUUUUUAUUUUCAAAUAGAAAAGAUACCUACUUUAAUUUACCAAUUUUUUUAAAUACAUGUCUGUGUUGGUAUUAUAUGUAUAGUCAAAUGUUUUCAUAUCAGGCAUAAGCGACACCUUUUACAAUGCCUCGUCAAAUGUAAUGGGUAUUCCUCCUAAUAGACUGUUAAGUGCCUAGCACAUAGAUAGGUCAUGGUAAGUAAAUCUUAAUAAAAUAUCUGAUUCUGAAAAAAUCCUAUUAUGUAUACAAGAUGUAUUAAUGAUGGUUUAGAGAGUAUUAAUAGCUUUUUGGGUAGACUUCUAAGUGAUGCAGAUACAUACAAUUUUAGUAAGUAUUUCCAGUAGAACUACUGCAAUAACAUCCAACAAUGGGUCUAUUGUUAUAGGAAGGGGUUGUGGAAUUAAUACCAAUAUGACCUUUCAAAAUUUUCAUAAAAUUUUGGAUAAAAGGGUAUCCAUUAGUUGUUAUCAGUUAAGUUUAAAACUUGGCACUCAUGGAGAGCUAUACCAUAAUAUAUAAUAGGUAUAUCUCAUAUUACAUCUCAUAUUGUUCACUACAGUAGUAAUCAGUGAGCCUGCAUACACAGAACCAUAAUAAUAUAUUAUAGUUCGUGUAUGCAGGCUCACUCAUUACAAUAGUGAGCAAUAUGAGAUAUAACAUAUUAUAGUAUAAGUCUCUGUGCAUGACCAGAUUAACAUGUUUGGUGCCCAUCUCGAACAAGCUCCACUUGGCUGGUACCACAUACUUAAAUCAUUUAUUUAGUUACACAGUACUACUCACAUAACUUAUGUGUCAUCAGUACCUUCCGUAAAACCUUCGUGAUGCUACCCAUACGUCAUGGCCACUGAAUGUGUUAAAGCUUGUUAAUGUAGGAGAGUUAUACUAAACUAUAUAUCUUAUAUUAUAUUGCCUUAAAUAGAAAAAAUAUCUUAUUUAAAUUGUAUCCAUGUAAGUUUUGAUUUAAUGAAAUAAACCUUUUAAUCAAAAAAGUGUUGUUUACUUGUGUACACCCAGCAAUAUCCUGAUCAUAGAUAAAUAAUAUAGUAUUACCGGAUCCUGAUAUGCAGACGCCAAUAGGGCUUUUCAUCGAUUGUCAUUUGUUUCGAGCUUCUGUCAUGAGUCACAUAAUAUUAGUGUAUCUGCGUCAUACGUCUUUGGUUUGUAUCAUUGGUAUAUACCAAUAACGUACGACGUAGAUAUAUUAAUAUUAUGUGACACAUGACAGAAGCUCGAAACAAAUGACUG